RNAcentral lists this ribosomal RNA (253 nucleotides) under uncultured bacterium. Its description in RNAcentral is "partial 16S ribosomal RNA". It matches the Rfam family "Bacterial small subunit ribosomal RNA", at positions 524 to 776 of the family's 1533-position model. The record is from RNAcentral.
UACGGAGGGUGCGAGCGUUGUCCGGAAUCACUGGGCGUAAAGGGCGCGUAGGCGGCGCGGUGAGUCAACGGUGAAAGCUCGGCGCUCAACCCCGGGUCGGCCGUGCCGACUGUUAGACUAGAGUGCUGUAGGGGCAGGCGGAAUUCCGGGUGUAGCGGUGGAAUGCGUAGAGAUCCGGAGGAAGACCGGUGGCGAAGGCGGCCUGCUGGGCAGUUACUGACACUGAGGCGCGACAGCGUGGGGAGCAAACAGG